GACGAACGCUGGCGGCGUGCCUAAUACAUGCAAGUCGAACGCAGUGGGGCCGGGUGAGUAACCCGUGGGUAACCUCCCAUCAGAGGGGAUCACACUUGGAAACAGGUGCUAAACCGAUCCUGAUGGUUGGACCCGCUGUGCAUUGGCGAGUUGGUGGGGUAACGGCUCACCAGGGCCACGAUGCAUAGCGGAGCGGUGGGGGUGUGCGGCAACAACGGGACUGAGACACGGCGCAGAAUCCUACGGAAGGUAGCAGUAGUGAAUCGUCAGCAAUGGAAGAAAGUCUGACAGAUCCACGCCGCGGGAGUGAAGAAAGUUUACGGAGAGGAAAACCAGGUUGUUAGGGAAACGGUAUCUAACCAGAAAGCCACGGAUAACUACGUGCCAGCAGCCGCGGUAAUAC
RNAcentral lists this ribosomal RNA (403 nucleotides) under uncultured bacterium. Its description in RNAcentral is "partial 16S ribosomal RNA". It matches the Rfam family "Bacterial small subunit ribosomal RNA", at positions 28 to 526 of the family's 1533-position model. The record is from RNAcentral.